RNAcentral lists this unclassified non-coding RNA (335 nucleotides) under soil metagenome. RNAcentral's name for it is "partial contains 5.8S ribosomal RNA, internal transcribed spacer 2, and large subunit ribosomal RNA". The stretch from base 1 to 120 matches the Rfam family "5.8S ribosomal RNA", at positions 35 to 154 of the family's 154-position model. The record is from RNAcentral.
GAUGAAUAACGUAGCGAAAUGCGAUAAGUAAUGUGAAUUGCAGAAUUCAGUGAAUCAUCGAAUCUUUGAACGCACAUUGCGCCCGCCAGUAUUCUGGCGGGCAUGCCUGUUCGAGCGUCAUUUCAACCAUCAAGCCCCCGGCUUGUGUUGGGGACCUGCGGCUGCCGCAGGCCCUGAAAACCAGUGGCGGGCUCGCUAGUCACUCCGAGCGUAGUAAUACAUCUCGCUCAGGGCGUGCUGCGGGUUCCGGCCGUUAAAAAGCCUUAUUUACCCAAGGUUGACCUCGGAUCAGGUAGGAAGACCCGCUGAACUUAAGCAUAUCAAUAAGCGGAGGA